Molecule: ribosomal RNA, 774 nt
Filed under: Dothideomycetes sp. genotype 113
Lineage: Eukaryota; Fungi; Ascomycota; Dothideomycetes
Description: eukaryotic LSU rRNA
Rfam family: Eukaryotic large subunit ribosomal RNA (bases 513-774)
Source: RNAcentral
GAUCAUUACAAUUCAGUAGCUUGCUACUGUCGGGAGGUGCUGUAAGCCCGCAUAGUUUCAUUACUGAUGAGCGGCAGGCCCUCUGUCUGUACCCUUGUCUUUUGCGCACUCAUGUUUCCUCGGCGGGCUUGCCCGCCGAUUGGACAAAACUAUAACCUUUUUAAUUUUCAAUCAGCGUCUGAAAAAACUUAAUAAUUACAACUUUCAACAACGGAUCUCUUGGUUCUGGCAUCGAUGAAGAACGCAGCGAAAUGCGAUAAGUAGUGUGAAUUGCAGAAUUCAGUGAAUCAUCGAAUCUUUGAACGCACAUUGCGCCCCUUGGUAUUCCAUGGGGCAUGCCUGUUCGAGCGUCAUUUGUACCCUCAAGCUCUGCUUGGUGUUGGGUGUUUGUCCUCUCCUUUGCGUUUGGACUCGCCUUAAAGCAAUUGGCAGCCAGUGUUUUGGUAUUGAAGCGCAGCACAUUUUGCGAUUCUAGCCGAUAAUACUUGCGUCCAUAAGCCUUUUUUAACUUUUGACCUCGGAUCAGGUAGGGAUACCCGCUGAACUUAAGCAUAUCAAUAAGCGGAGGAAAAGAAACCAACAGGGAUUGCCCUAGUAACGGCGAGUGAAGCGGCAACAGCUCAAAUUUGAAAUCUGGCUCUUUUAGAGUCCGAGUUGUAAUUUGCAGAGGGCGCUUUGGCGUUGGCAGCGGUCCAAGUUCUUUGGAACAGGACGUCACAGAGGGUGAGAAUCCCGUACGUGGUCGCUAGCCUUCGCCGUGUAAAGCCCCUUCGA